AGGAGCGAUACGGAAAAAGGUCAACUCGUUCAAUCCCCAAAUUAUCGCAGCCAGCUAAUUUGCCCGAUUCAUUCGACCACCACUUUGCUUCUCCGCCCGUCAUCCAUGGCCGCCGCCUUCCCCAGCCCCAGCAACCGCCGCUGUCGUGUGUCCCGUCCCCGGGAACGGCCGCCGCCGCCUUCCCCGGCCACAGCAACCGCCGCCGUCGUGUGUCCCGUCCCCGGGAACGGCCGCCGCCGCCUCCCCCACACCUGGAAACCCCCACAUCCACCACCCCCGCCCCGGCAACCGCCGCCGCCUCCUCCCUCGACCCCGGCAACUGGCCACACCGCUGGUACUGCUCCCCGCGAGCGCGCGCUUCCUCCCUGGAUUUCCUCGCCGCCGCCGCCGCGGAUUCACCUCGCCGCCGCCUCCGAUUCACCUCGCCUCCAUGUCAGGGCCGACUCCCCCUUGUCCUCCUGCUGCCACACCAUGAGUCGGGAGCUCCUUCAACUCCGGUUAGAGACAUGAGCGCAGUACGCCAGUACAUGAUGCUUCAGGUGAGAAGUGCAGUGGCGAAAAAAGAGAGAACGCAGUGUCUUCUUCUAGCAUGACAGAUACUACCAGUGGUGCUACUAUUCAGCAAUUGACGAAACUUUCAGCAUAGUCUUUUUUUUUGUGAAGAAACUUUCAGCAUAGUCAACGGAAGUAAUAUGAACAUGUCAGAAUUUGUGUUGAUUCUCUCUUGUCCGUGCAGCAGCAGUUCUGCUCUCCUUAUUCUCUAUUGCAGCUUGCGAAUGCUAGGUAAAGCAUCUAUGUACGUGUGCGUUUCUAAUUCUCUCAUGCAUAUUCUCUCUGUACCUCUAAUUCUCUAUUAGUAUGUGCAGGCUAUUCGAUGCCAGUGCAUAAGUCCAAUCAUAUAGUAGUAAGAAGUGCAAGUCAAGAUAAUUUUUUUUUAUUGGAACUUCACUGCGAUAUAGUGUUAUACUUCAGAGAAUUGUUGUUCUGUAUUUCACCGUGAUGCCACAGAGCUUGACAUGCCGCCGCAGUAGCCUGACGAUGGAAGCCAAGCCACUGGUAUACGCCGGUGAGAGAGCCGGAGGAUGGCCUCUAGCUGCUGGAGCACGGAGUCAGCAGGAGGACGCACGAGGCUGCUGCCCUGCGUAACGCUUUGCUGAACCGCGAGCGCCCUGUUGCAGCAGUACGCAUGAAGUUCCGCCACCUGCUGCUAUAACAUGGAGCAAAAGCGAAGCUUGUGCUGCUCGGAUUGCCUAGGUUUCAUUUGCUUGUUUGGAUUGAUUUGCUGAUGCUGCAAUAUAUAGCUGUGUGCACAUGAUAGGGUAGAAUUUUUUUGGAUAGAUAUGCAUAGUGAUGUAGGGAUAUUAUUUCCGGGCUCCCAUAGAGUAGCUUCUCACGCCUCUGCUUGAACUGUCGCCGCACGUACAUCUGAACCAUUUCAGCUCCAUGUAUGGACUUUGUUGAUCUAUAGUUUUAGUCCCCAAGUUCAGUUCAUUUUGCGUGAAAUUCACCUUAUUUGCUGGACUUUGCCUCGUGAAUUUUGCUGUGAAGUUCAGGUCAUUCAUCUGUGAAGCAGCAGCAGCUUGUAGCAGUAGCAAAUUUGUUUUCUACUAGAAUGGACUGUGUUCGGCAGUACAGAAGUAUUGAGGAAAAAAGUGCAGGUCAAGAUAAAUAUCUAGAUGCAUUCACCGGUUGUUCUGCUGCCAGGGUCUCUUCCGGCAGCAUCCUACGGCGUUCUCCUGCUACAACCUCUUCCGGCAGCAGCGCUCCCUGAUUGCUUGGACGACGCCGGUGUCAAAGAUAACGAAGAUGGAAGGCCCUUGUGAGCUCCGCUUGGAGGUAGACCAGGUGACGAGGAUUUCUCUCCCCCAUAAUUCCUCGAGCUGGACGUGGUUGUAGGUAGCAUAAGUUGCCGAGCUGUCCAUGCAUGGAUCUCCGUACAUCCGUAUCCCUCAAGGACGUACAUGAAUAUUCUGCUCCUGCUGCUAGAGUUUUGUUCUUGGAUGGAUUCUAUUCGUGAGCAAAUGAUAGAGUGGAGGGAAUAAGGAUUAGCACGUGGGUGGUGUAAAUAAUUUCAUGGGUAUUAGCUUUAAUCA
Non-coding RNA from Lolium perenne, 2093 nucleotides. The record is from RefSeq and is a predicted model, not a curated record. Lineage: Eukaryota; Viridiplantae; Streptophyta; Magnoliopsida; Poales; Poaceae.